UAUAGCUUGGUGUAAUUAGCAUUUCACGCUUUGGUUGUGAGGGUAAUUUGAUGUUAGCUGUAG
Molecule: transfer RNA, 63 nt
Filed under: Opisthorchis viverrini
Lineage: Eukaryota; Metazoa; Platyhelminthes; Trematoda; Opisthorchiida; Opisthorchiidae
Description: tRNA-Gln
Source: RNAcentral